Long non-coding RNA from Helianthus annuus (common sunflower), 6389 nucleotides. RefSeq lists it as uncharacterized. The transcript has 5 exons. Lineage: Eukaryota; Viridiplantae; Streptophyta; Magnoliopsida; Asterales; Asteraceae. The record is from RefSeq and is a predicted model, not a curated record.
GAACUCUCAUUUUCUUUUCAAAUGGUGCAACGCAUACAACAGCAGUGUUCAUUCUUUCUCUGCAGAUCUAAAAACACACAUAGAAACCCUAAAACCUUCAUCUUCUACAAAACACGCACAACAUCAGCCCUGUUCUCCAUCUCGCUCGCCUGAAUAUCACCGGCGACCUCCGGCGCCUCGAGUUUUCUCCGGCGACAAGACUCCAAUUAGACACAAGCAAGCACCCUCCUUCUACCCGAUUACACCCACCCACACAACUCAUCUCAACCCCCCCCGCCCCCCCCCUUCGAUCAGUGAAACCGACCACCACCACCGUUGGGUGGUGGUGAGCGACGACCAGAAGAGACGAGACAGAGAGAGAUGACAGAGGGAGAGAGAGAACGACGUACAGCAGAACCGCCAUUUGCGGCGGCGACGAAACAGAAAGGGAGACGGGGAGAGGAGCAGCGCCGCUGCCGCCGCUCACAGCGGCGGUGCUCUCGGGUUCCGACGAUCUUGAGACGUGAUGAUGAUGAAGAUGAUAGGUGAUUGACACCACUGCCGGCGGCUGUGGUGGAGCUUAUGCGUGGUUCAGUUCCGUCAACAACUUAACGGGUUCAUUCAUUUCAUAUUCGGUUAGGUUUGAGUUUAUUUUAUGUUUGGUUCAGGCUCGGUCAAGUGGUCAACGGCUCAUAUGUUUAAGUUUCGGUUCACAUGGUUCAGUCUUGGUUCGGGUUAUGUCUUGGCUCGGUUCAAGGUUGGUUUAACUUGGUUCGGUUCAGGUCAAAUUCGACUCGGUCAACACCAGGUCAUACCUGGUCAAAGCAGAUCAAAGACAGUCAACAAGUCAAACCAGUCAACACAUCUGGUUGACUGGUCAAAGCUGGUCAACAGGAGACUCGGCCAGGUUCAGUUUUGCGGUUCCGUUAUGGUUCGGGUUCCAGUUCAGUUUCGAGACGUUUGGUUCAAAAUAGUCACAGUGAAUGGUUCGGGUCAGACUUGGCAGUCAAGGUCUAGUCAACACGCAGUCAAACAGGUCAAACGCGGUCAACGCAUGACCCGGAAUGAUAUAGUUGCACGCUAGCAGUUCACAUUCUUGGAAUGACAUCAUGGAAUCACUUCUAGCUAGCUUUGCACAGGAAUAUUAAGCUAAAGGCGAAAAGAACGUGUUCUAUGACAAGCUUUGGAAUGAAGACACGACAUUGAUGCAAUCAGAGGAUCAAGAUGAUCGAGUUGCAGCUGUCCACUGACCAACACCGAAAGGAUCUGAAGAAUUGAAGAUCAAAAGAUUCACGAGCAUCAUUCAAGGGGGAGUUUGUUGAUACACUCCCUAUUUGUGACACGUGAAGACAUCUGAAGAUCCGACAACAUGUGAAGAUCGAACCAUCACGAGCAGCAUCCAAGGGGGAGUUUGUUGAUGCACUUUGUGGAUGCGGCUCGGUUUGGUUCGACUCGGUUCGGUUUGGCUCAAGACCGACGUCACGACAUUCCUCCGUCGUGCGCCCCAGAGUUCGAUACGUGAAGCACGAAGCGCCGCGAGCUAACAUCACCAUGACAUCAUCAUGAUGAUGAUGUCAUGAUGAUGUCACAUUAUAGCAUGGACUACAAAGAAGUAAAUGUUCUGCAUGAACUUGAACGUUGAUUUAAUACAUAAUUGGGCCAAUCAGUUUCUUUAGGCUUGCAUUGGGCUGACAUCUCUACGAACUUUCCAAUGUUGCACGAAGACACAUGUGACGAACAGUGUAACAUGACGAACCCUUACAGUUCGUGAGCUUCACUAAGGGUUCGUAGCCCUGCUUACAGUUCGUGGGCUUUCUUAAGAGUUCGUGGCCAGCUAACAGUUCGUGAUGGUGCUGUUAUACUUCGCCUAUUUAAACGGCUUGCUGAAUCAGAGAAGGGUCAGACACACAGUGAGACACGAGAGAACACACAGUAGGUUUGUGAGAGCAUUAUCUUGUUCUAUUAUUGUAACAAACUCUACCGAAUCAAUACAUUUGAGCUUGAAACGUUGAAUUAUUGUCUUGUAUUUUCGUGUUCUUUGCUUGAUUUGCUUACCCGGUUGGAUUCCGCACAACUGGGUGUGUUCGGUAACAAGGAUUAGGUGUUCCGCACAACCUAUUCCUGUACACAAUGGUGUGUAUGAGCUGAAUCCGAAACCCGACAUUUUCAAUGCAUACGAACUGUAUGAUCCUAUGAGAAAAGCUGAUACGGUCCGUAUUGUCCUAAAACUAAUAAUAUGUGGUGACCUCACUAUGCGGAUCGUAUGGUCUGCUGACCAAAAGUAUUAUUGUCCGUAUUGCAGUGAAAUUUAGAAUAUGUGAUAAUGUCAUAAUACAGAUCAUAUGUCCAGAUGAUCAACCAAUCUUGCUAGGAUAAGCAUUUUAAACAUGUUUUAAACCCGCAAAAAGACUUAAAAUAAAAAUGUAAAUAUGAGACAUAAAACACAAGGUUAAGAGGAUCAAGGGAACUAAGGAAACACCACACUUGUUUUACUCACUGCCGUUUACAAAAAUUAAUUAAUAAAAGUGAUUUGUCAAAACUUUGGAAAAUAAGCCGGCACAAAAUGGUAGUCGGUAUGGACCUAAACAACAUGGAGGAGUUUCUGUUUGAAACAAUCACAGAUGAAGUGAUAUUCGAGAUCUUUGGUCUGCAACUGCUUCAUUCGGUCUGGGGUGUGACGUGUGAAUGGAAAUUACUCGUGUAUGAAGAAAAAUGUCAAUUAGAUUUCAUCAUAUGUGCUCUAAUACAAAUCUUUGAUAUGCACACGAGUGAACUAACAAAUCUAACUCUUUAAGAUGACAAAUUAGUAAUCGGAUUUUCAUUUCUAUAAAAUGAGUUAGUAAAUUAAUCAAACUCAUAAUUUUAAUAGUAGGUCCGGAUUCGGAUCUUGAACACAAGGAUUGUAGGUCCCGAUACGGAUCGUCGGACGAAAGUGAUUUCUUGUUUCGGAUGCCAUAGCGAGUGCGGAAUCCAAGCUACGUCACAAACCGAGCGAGAGAAUGUAAUACACAAUAAGAUUCACCCUUAAAUGAUUUCGUCUAUUGAUUUCUACAGAGUUUUGGUACAAUAUUCGAACAAUACAAAGCUCCGAUCACUCUCACACUCUCAGUUUUUGAAUGAAUCCUAUCCCGUUGUAUUUAUAGGCGAUACAUCACUUUACACGCGAAACGAAAAUACUACGCAUGAAACAAGACGAAGCAGGCACGAAAUAUUUGCUAUAUGUUACACGAACUAGACCAUGUUCACACAUAUAUUUGGUGUGUCUCAUGUAUUUCAUGUGUGCAUGCAUGUUUACAUAUAUUUCGUGUGAUUCAUACAAUUCAUGCACUACUGUUUCGUGUGUAUUUAUAAAGAUACAUGCAUGGGUUCAAUAAUCAUGACAUCAUCAUCAUGAUGUCAUGAUGAUGUCAGUCUCGUUUCGUAUCGUAUCGUUGUCUUCAUCACUUGUAUCUCAUAUGCCGAGUCGAACCGAAGGAGGAACGCCGUUGACUUCGGUCGCGACUUGAACAGUCUCGAACGUCACUAGCGGCAUCCACACUAAUUGCAUCAACAAACUCCCCCUUGGAUGAUGCUCAUGAUGUUCGAUUUCACACUGAUGGAUCUUGAGAACAUCUUCACUUGUCACAGACAGUAGGUGCAUCAACAAGCUCCCCCUUGAAUGUAGCUUGUGAAUCUGUUGAUCUUCAAAGCUUUAGAUCCUUGGUGUUGAUGAGUGGUCAACUGCAACUUGAUUAUCUUGAUCAUCUUGAUCCACUAAUUGCAUCCAUGUUGUGUCGUCAAUUCUUAGCUUGUCCUCUGACACGUUCUAUUUUCCUAUAGCUUGCUUGAAUGCUACAUCUGCACACACCAAAAAGCUAAACGCAUAAUGAGAACAACCACUAGGGUUUUAAUCAAUCUUAGAGAAUUUUCAACUGAAAACCUCACUAAGGAUUGAUCACUAAGGAUUGAUUUAUACAGUAUUAACUGACGACACACAUGGGAGACCAACUUUCAUUCAACUACCAAUCGUCAAAAUUUUGAAAGUUUCAAAAUUGUUCAAUUUUAGAUCUUUAACUUUCAAAAUUUGUCAACUUCGACCAUUUAUGAAGAUUCGAUCAUAAACGGUACCGGUAUCGGUAGUAGAUUUUUCGAAAUUCGGUAUCGGUAAAAAACGGUAUCGGUAUAGGUAUUUUUCGGUAAAUACCGGUUUUAAUACCAAAUUUAAUAAUGAAUUCCAAUGACUUUUUAGGUUGGAUUACGAAGAGUCCAAGUCCAACUAAUCUUAUUGGCUACUACAAUAUAUUGAAAUAAUAUAACAAAACCUAAACAUAAAAUCCAAAGGAAGGAUCGUCUGUUACUCUGUUUCAUGUUUUCUUCAAGGUAUUAAAAAAAUUCAAAUCUAUGUUUCAUGUUUGCUUCUUUUUUCUGUUUUUUUAUUUAACAUUUAUAUAUUGCAAAGGAAGUAUCUUCUGUAGUCUGUAUGUUAGGAGGGUUUCGGCUUAGGCAUAAAAUAAACAUCGAUGUAAAUUGAUUAGUUACUUGAAAGCCCUCCAUAAUUCAUCGAUGUAAAAUAAUUAUUAGUGUGGGUGGAUAAUGAAUCCCAUUGGCCAUCCAUUCAUUUGAAAGCCUCCAUAAUCAUAGCUUUGUGUAAACCCUCCAUAGCUCUGUGUAAAAAAACCUUGCGUUUAGGUGAUCGUGUUGCUAUAUUUUUUACUUGUGUUAAACUUCAAAUAUGUUUACAAAAGACGAACUCAAUCUAACUUGCUCGGCAGGUAUUUUAAUAUUAAUCACUUCAACACUCCUGUUAUUCAAGAAUUUAUAUUCUUUUUUUUUUUCAAAAAGAGUUCUUCAUUAAAGAUAUUGCAACAUGUCCGUAUCAUAUUUAUAUUAGUUAAACUGAUUCACAAGUUGUUAUGUAUUUUAUUAAUAUUGAUAAGUUUUUAUAUUUUUUUUUUAUUUUAGAUUUGAAUUCUUCUAAGUUUUUUACGGCAACUUCAUCAUCGGUAAAAAGCAUGGAUAACAUCAAAACAGUACCAGUGUGGUAAAGUACCGAAAUACCGGUACCGAUACCGGUACCGAAUCUAUAACGGUACGGUAAUCGGUAUCACAUUUCCUCAAUUUCGGUAACGGUAUUUACGGUAUUGGUACCGGUACGGUACCGGUAUCGUACCGAUCUCAUCCCUAUUAAUGAAAAUCCACAAAUUUAAGGGGUAAGUGAUGAACAAGACUAAAACAAAAUGUAAAAUGGAGGGGGUAGAAUAGUAAAUUUCACACCUUACCCAUACCCACGCACAACCAUAAAAACCUAGUUUUCAACAAUUCGACAGACGUAUCUUUAUUAGCCAGUACCGCCAUACACAACCCUAACUUGUAACGAUCAUUAACAAUGUUAGAGGAAAAGAGGCGACGUGAUCUCAAGGGAACUGAAGAACGUACAUGUUACUCGAUCAUAACAUGUUGAAAAUUCAUAGGUUAUAACAAGUACCCCGUGCACAUGGGUGUGAUGCAGCUGAUGGAUUUUUAAGUGAUUGGUGGGGGCAAGACCCAAAUUCCCUGGAGAAUCUUUUGGAUGAAGAUUAUGAUCCGUCUCCAUCUACAUCCCAACUGACCCACAGGAAAGAUCGCAGGAGAUCAGUUUCCAGAACCAAAGAUACAGUUGUGGUCCCCGAAAAGCGUUCUAAAUUCAAGGUUGCUCGCGUACAUUCUGAUGACGAGAACGCUUUGCCUGAAAAAGAAAGUGAGUCAGGGCCAGACCCAAAUUCCCCGGAGAAUCUUCUGGAUGAAGAUUAUGAUCCGUCUCCAUCUACAUCCCAACUGACCCACAGGAAAUAUCGCAGGAGAUCAGUUUCAAGAACCAAAGAUACAGUUGUGGUCCCCGAAAAGCGUUCUAAAUUCAAGGUUGGACAACAUGUUAUACUUACAGAUGAUAAGGGACAAGAGGUUGGAAAAGGAACCAGAAACAAGUGUACAUCAGUUUGCCGGAAAAGGAGCUCCCUGAAGGUCUAAUUCACUCUUGAAGAUAAUCUUUUCUUCUAUCUCAAUAUGGUGUAAUUGGUUCUUGUCAUUAAAACUAGAAACAAGUUUAGAUGGUGUUUGUUUUUACCGCGAGUACAAUUGGCAAACUUAAAUUUUUCACCUCCUUGAAGGGACUACAAGUCCAAGAAAUUCCUGAGUCAUUUGGUACUAUGAUAUUACUAGGAAAAUGGGAGAUGAAGCAUGCUUUACUUUAUCUAGUGAAAUGCCCCAGUCAUUUGGUAUUUUGAUACUCUCCCUAAUUUGUAACGCCUCUUUCUAGCUCUUGUUUCCUUAUUUCUAUUUUAUUGGAUCUUCUUUCUAGUUUAUUAUUGUAACCAGAAUUCCAUAUUGGCUUACUUGUAAUAGGUUUGGUCAUGAGAACGCAUAUAGUAAUAGUUUAUAACAUGUUGAUUUUU